This is a long non-coding RNA of Gasterosteus aculeatus aculeatus (three-spined stickleback), 839 nucleotides long. Lineage: Eukaryota; Metazoa; Chordata; Actinopteri; Perciformes; Gasterosteidae. The record is from Ensembl.
GCCAAGUAACGUCUCUCGUCUCUGACAGCCGGGAAGAAUAACGUAACGUUAGCCAACAAGGAGUUUAGCUCAACGUAAAUGAUGCACGGACUCAAAUUGUACAGGUAGUUACGCAAUAUGUCUCUGUGUAAAGCCGGGGGCCAAAGGAAGUCUGUUGGUACAAGCGAACAGCAACCGCACUCCUCAAAUACCAGUGGAGGGGUACACAUCGCCUCGUGGGAAUUGUUGUUGAAAACAGACAAAUCAGAGGAUAGAAAGAAAGAAAUAUUGAAUUGAGCAGCCAUCUCCAUUCAAGGUCUGACUUGCUUAAUCUCUUGGCUUCUUUGAUUUUCAUGCACUGCUCUACUCAACUGUGACGCUGAUGAGCACACGACCGGUGGCGUUUGAAAUGAAUGCCUGGUAGGGCCUUGAUCAGAAUAUGCUGGAGGUGCUUGAUAGAAGAAGAAGAAGAAGAAGAAGGAGAAACACAUGGAAAACAAACCACCCUUGAGUGCUGCACGCUCUUCGCCUAUUUAGGGCAGCCAUGUCCAGCAGUGGAUUUGAAUAUGCAUGACUAUCCCAGCAACCCUUGCAGCACAGCUCUGAGACCUGACACCAGCCUUUUCAAAGAAGAAUAUGCAUGCAUCACAUUUGAAUAUGUAACGGGCCCUGUCAUACACAAUAAACACAAUGUCCGUGAAAUGGGUGAAUGAUGAUAAAGUACCCAAAAUCGACUUGGAGUGAUACAACGUUCUUAGAGCACAGACGUGGCCUCUAACUAUAUGAUUAGGAAAUUUUUUAACAUUUUAAAAAUAAAAAAUAAAAUUGAAAUUGUUGAAUUGGGAAUAGGAAUUUGGGGA